CAGUCUGCAACUCAACUGCACGAAGCUGGAAUCGCUAGUAAUCGCGGAUCAGCACGCCGCGGUGAAUACGUUCCCGGGCCUUGUACACACCGCCCGUCACACCAUGGAAGUCUGCAAUGCCCGAAGCCGGUGGCCUAACCACUUAUGUGGAAGGAGCCGUCUAAGGCAGGGCAGAUGACUGGGGUGAAGUCGUAACAAGGUAGC
RNAcentral lists this ribosomal RNA (204 nucleotides) under uncultured bacterium. Its description in RNAcentral is "partial 16S ribosomal RNA". It matches the Rfam family "Bacterial small subunit ribosomal RNA", at positions 1301 to 1500 of the family's 1533-position model. The record is from RNAcentral.